CGCACCUUGCACCCUUUGGUAUUCCGAAGGGUACGCCCGUUUGAGCGUACAUUGUAAUCUCACUUCUACCGCUUUGUUGUAGUAGAAUGUGGACUUGGACGUCUGCCGUGUCACAGCGGCUCGUCUUAAAUGCCUGAGUGUACCCUACUUUGCGGUGUAUUCGGUGUGAUAAACAUUUCACCGGAGUUUUGGUCUCUGACCGCACUUAGCAAUUGGUGGGCUCUAUGCUUUCCAACCGUCUUUACAGACAAUCUUUGACAAUUUGACCUCAAAUCGGGCGGGACUACCCGCUGAACUUAA
Molecule: ribosomal RNA, 300 nt
Filed under: uncultured Sebacina
Lineage: Eukaryota; Fungi; Basidiomycota; Agaricomycetes; Sebacinales; Sebacinaceae
Description: eukaryotic LSU rRNA
Source: RNAcentral